GCGAGUGAACCGGGAAAAGCUCAAAUUUGAAAUCUGCCAACAGGCCGAGUUGUAAUUUGUAGAUGGCUACASUGCAUAAUAGUAGAUGCUCAAGUUCUUUGGAAAAAGACAUCAUGGAGGGUGACAAUCCCSUGAGGCAUGUUWCUAGGAGCAUAUAGUGGGCUUUYUAAGAGUCGAGUUGUUUGGGAAUGCAGCUCAAAGUGCGUGGUGAAUWCCAUGUAAAGCUAAAUAUGGACGAGAGACCGAUAGCGAACAAGUACUGUGAAGGAAAGAUGAAAAGCACUCCGAAAGGAGAGUGAAAUAGUACGUGAAAUUGUUAAAGUGGAAGGGCUUGAGAUCAGAAUUGGKAGUUUGGGUUCCACGUCCUCUUGGGGGCGUGUACUCCCUUUCCACCGGGCCAGCGGGAGUUUCGUCUCUUGGGUAAAAGCAGUGGAAUGUAGCAGCUUGUCUGUAUUAUAGCCUCUGUUCAUACAAGACG
RNAcentral lists this ribosomal RNA (478 nucleotides) under Wickerhamiella pararugosa. Its description in RNAcentral is "eukaryotic LSU rRNA". It matches the Rfam family "Eukaryotic large subunit ribosomal RNA", at positions 89 to 570 of the family's 3401-position model. The record is from RNAcentral. Lineage: Eukaryota; Fungi; Ascomycota; Dipodascomycetes; Dipodascales; Trichomonascaceae.